This 512-nucleotide ribosomal RNA is filed under the name uncultured microorganism. RNAcentral describes it as "bacterial SSU rRNA". It matches the Rfam family "Bacterial small subunit ribosomal RNA", at positions 9 to 517 of the family's 1533-position model. The record is from RNAcentral.
GUAGUUUGAUCUUGGCUCAGAUUGAACGCUGGCGGCAGGCUUAACACAUGCAAGUCGAGCGGGGGAGAUUGCUUCGGUAAUUGACCUAGCGGCGGACGGGUGAGUAAUACUUAGGAAUCUGCCUAUUAAUGGGGGACAACAUCUCGAAAGGGAUGCUAAUACCGCAUACGCCCUACGGGGAAAGCAGGGGAUCACUUGUGACCUUGCGUUAAUAGAUAAGCCUAAGUCGGAUUAGCUAGUUGGUGGGUAAAGGCCUACAAGGCGACGAUCUGUAGCGGGUCUGAGAGGAUGAUCCGCCACACUGGGACUGAGACACGGCCCAGACUCCUACGGAGGCAGCAGUGGGGAAUAUUGGACAAUGGGGGAACCCUGAUCCAGCCAUGCCGCGUGUGUGAAGAAGGCCUUAUGGUUGUAAAGCACUUUAAGCGAGGAGGAGGCUCCUGUAGUUAAUACCUACAGAGAGUGGACGUUACUCGCAGAAUAAGCACCGGCUAACUCUGUGCCAGCAGCCG